This 324-nucleotide unclassified non-coding RNA is filed under the name Hevea brasiliensis (rubber tree). The record is from RNAcentral. Lineage: Eukaryota; Viridiplantae; Streptophyta; Magnoliopsida; Malpighiales; Euphorbiaceae.
CGCAUCAGUAUUUAGGUAAGGGUCUGCAAAUAUGCAACAAAUUAGAAAUGUAAUUAAGAUGACUAAACAAUGAAUGUCUUCAUAUGCCCAGAACAGGUUGCGAUCAUGUAAAUGCAUUUCAACAAGCUAAAGUCACAUAAUAGUUGUAGAAUAAGUUUUCAAUCUAAAUGAGUAGUCACAAACAAGCAAGAGUCCAAAAAAAAUCCAACCAAAUUCAAGUUUUAUGUAAUCAAAGAAGACGUUAAAAAGAAUAAGACAGAUGCAAAAUUCACACUAUGUACCCUGUUGCACAUGCAAUAUCAGCUAUCCAAAAGCUAAAAAAAG